GUUCUCUUCUCGUGCUGUUUGACGCGGGUGUGGUGCUGCGCGUGAGGUGUCGCGCUCUCCUGUAUGGAGAACAUGCAGGACAUGGCCGUAGUGCUGGAUGUGAUGCUGAUGGGGAAAUUGUUCUACAGCUUGUACUGCCCUUCUGGCACAUGAGUGAAUUUAAACAAUCCUGUGACUGCGUUGGACCUCAAGCCAGCUGGGUUUCCUCGCUGCCUUGGCCUUCAGCACCUAUGCAACAACAAAAAGUUUCUGCUGUAGCGGAGGAUCGCCUCCUUAUCUCUGGAUUCAGCAGCUAAGCUUGCUGUGAUGGGGGAGUUGUAUGACUCGUGAAGUCGUGACAGCGGUUUCUGCUGCAGUAAAGGAUCGCCUCCUAAUCCCAAACUCUAGCAGGGAUUCAGCCACAAAGAAUCCUGAAACAAUCCUGGAGGAGAGAAGAGUCAUCAGCAGCCCUUCGCUGUAGAUCGAUGCCGAGCCAUCAGUAACCAGCUGAGAGCACAACGGUCAGCAGUUUGAUCAGCUGUCCCCUGCUCCGGAAUAACGACAGACCUUUGUAAUGGCAGCUGUGUGUGUGUGUGUGUGUGUGUAUCCACAGCAUUAAAUUUUGCCUUGUCCUUUGUCUAUUGUGUACCUGAUAAAUAAAAUAUCAACAAUUAA
Molecule: non-coding RNA, 654 nt
Organism: Plectropomus leopardus (leopard coralgrouper)
Lineage: Eukaryota; Metazoa; Chordata; Actinopteri; Perciformes; Serranidae
Source: RefSeq, a predicted model, not a curated record